GGGAGAAGCAGGCUCCCCACUGAGCAAGGAGGUUGAUGAAGGGACUCCCAUCUUAGGACCCUGGGACCAUGACUGGAGCCAAAGGCAGACGUCCAACCAAAUGAGCCAUCCAGGAAUGUAUAAAGAAGUCCAAAAUCACAGUUCUAGAUGCCAUGUAAAUCUCCACCUCUCCAGCUGCCAUCACGGAAAGAUACCAGAACAAAAAGGAGAGUAA
This 214-nucleotide long non-coding RNA is filed under the name Mustela putorius furo (domestic ferret). RNAcentral's name for it is "lncRNA (ENSMPUG00000025444.1)". Lineage: Eukaryota; Metazoa; Chordata; Mammalia; Carnivora; Mustelidae. The record is from RNAcentral.